CCUACGGGUGGCAGCAGUGGGGAAUAUUGGGCAAUGGGCGCAAGCCUGACCCAGCAACGCCGCGUGAAGGAAGAAGGCUUUCGGGUUGUAAACUUCUUUUCUCAGGGACGAAGCAAGUGACGGUACCUGAGGAAUCAGCCACGGCUAACUACGUGCCAGCAACCGCGGUAAUACGUAGGUGGCAAGCGUUAUCCGGAUAUACUGGGUGUAAAGGACGUGUAGGCGGGGACGCAAGUCAGAUGUGAAAACCACGGGCUCAACCUGUGGCGUGCAUUUGAAACUGUGUUUCUUGAGUAUUGGAGAGGCAGACGGAAUUCCAAGUGUAGCGGUGAAAUGCGUAGAUAUUAGGAGGAACACCAGUGGCGAAGGCGGUCUGCUGGACAGAAACUGACGCUGAGGCGCGAAAGCGUGGGGAGCAAACAGGAUUAGAUACCCUGGUAGUC
Molecule: ribosomal RNA, 443 nt
Filed under: uncultured bacterium
Lineage: Bacteria
Description: partial 16S ribosomal RNA
Rfam family: Bacterial small subunit ribosomal RNA
Source: RNAcentral